GACUGCAAGUCCUAUGAGUUUUAGUGUAAUAAUUGCAGGAUGCUGUAAUAUUAUUAUAUUAUAUCUUACAGGCCAUCCAGAGCAAACAUAUUCUGCAUCUGCUUCUUCCAUCUCUCCAGUAAAUGAGAAUGCUGAGAGAGAGAAUCUGAGCUAUGCUGCACUUAAUUUCCCUACAAGGAAAUCCAAGAGACGAGAAACUCAAAGAGACACAACAACAAAUGUGGUAUACUCCUCCGUAAGUGCUCAGAACUGAACAUCUACUGGAGUCAAUCGUAUCUGAAUUGUAUUCUGACAAGAUUUUAUCUACAUGCAUUUACUCAUGAUAGCCAAAUAUGUCUCUGCUUAGUCAGACUGGAAUCCAACUGUAGUGUGAAAUUAAAUAUGCAAAUUCAUCCACUGUGCAUCGAUUAUUACUGGUGUUUAUUUUGUACUGGGAGGAGUUUUAGAUGUUGAAUGAGUCCUGAAGUCCUAUAACAUCUCAAUUCACCUCCUGAAGUGGUUUUAUUAAUCAGAGUUGAAUCUGUUUUAAAGGGAACAUAUUAUAUCUCUUUUUACAUGAGUUAGAAUACGUAUAUGGGCUACACAAAACAUGUUCAUGAAGUUAUUUGCACAAAAUCCCCCUCACUCUCAUCAAAGAGAUCUCCUCAGCUCCUAUUCUUUCCAGUUUUACUCACUAUCAGAAUGAGCCAUUUAAGGGCUCUGUCAUGUUUAUUCAAAUGAGCUGUUACUGGCCACGCCCCAUGUUUAUGCUAAGCGUUUACCACACACUAGUGUUAGCUUAUGCUAAAUGACAUCUCCCUCAUCUACUGACUUGCCACAGACACAAGGUACAGAUCCCUCCUUCAGACAAAGUCUGCUGGCUAAUCCUACUGUGUACUUUUUGAGGUUAUCAACCAGCAGACUGAAAUGGCCGAUCUUCAACUGAUCUUGUUGGUGGGGCUCUGGUGGAGGUUGACAGGUGAGGGAUGAUGCCAAGAUGAUUCUAUGCAUGUUUCCUUAUAGUGACAUCACAGUAAGUAAGCCAUCCAAACUGCUCAUAGAAGCAUUUAAUUCUUGAGACCAAACCCUUUUAACUGAUUCACAGAAAACAGAUGGGUGGAUUUUUUAUAGGGGCAGUUGAGAUGCAAUUGGAAAUACAAAAUACACAAAAAGUUGGUUUUGAUAUAAACUUCUUCUAAAAUGUGUUUUUGGUGUGUUUACACCUUCAUGUGGCUUGAUCUUAUUUGUGGCUUGGGCCUGAUAUAAUCCUUUUACUCUAGACACAUAAAGAGACCAGGUGUAAACAGGGUCAUUAAUUAUGUGUUUAAGCCAAAACUUUAGUGCUAAUGGGUUAACUUGGCUUGACUAAAAUAGCAUAACAUUGGUCCUGAUGACCUAAGUCUUUAUAAAGCACAUUUAAAAGCUUUUUUCUUGAUUAAAUAUUGCUAUUACAUUUUUUAAAGUUGUACCCCUCAAUUGAAAUAAAAUGGAAAUAAAGACAUA
Molecule: long non-coding RNA, 1482 nt
Filed under: Astyanax mexicanus (Mexican tetra)
Lineage: Eukaryota; Metazoa; Chordata; Actinopteri; Characiformes; Acestrorhamphidae
Description: lncRNA (ENSAMXG00005007251.1)
Source: RNAcentral